UUUCAGAAUAAUUCUUCAGCAAACACACACAAAAAAAGAAACUGUGUAAACAAAUAGACAGAAAUCUCAGUAACCCCACCGCCACUAUCUGCAGAGAAUUAAAAAAUGGAUAUCCAUGCUUUAAAGCAGAUCCUCAGGCUGUGUGUCCCAGUGGAGCAGUUCCCAGAAAUGCUGUAGUGCCUUGCAGUGAGCCCUCCAUGGUAAAACGUAGGAUAGCUUACCUUGCUGGUUAGCAAAUAAUUCCCCAGACUCUGAGGUGGAAAAAUCCAUCUUGGCAGCUGAACAACCUUGCCUGUUUGUCUGCAGGUAGGGAACUCAUGUGAUGAGAGAUCUAAAAUGGGUUAACGUUUGUGUUGAUUACCAAUUAACAUGGCAAUUGCAACUAAUUUUUAUACAAAUUGCAUCAACUUCAAGUGAAUAUUGACUAUCUUCUCUAGCAAUCAUUUCUUGCCAACACACAGCUGCUAACCACGAGUGCUACCCAGCAGGUCUUCUUGUGAGCUAUUAUGGGGUGAUGAAAUGAUAACUCAGCUAUUGGGAACCUCAGGUUCC
This 552-nucleotide long non-coding RNA is filed under the name Phasianus colchicus (ring-necked pheasant). RNAcentral's name for it is "lncRNA (ENSPCLG00000008612.1)". The record is from RNAcentral. Lineage: Eukaryota; Metazoa; Chordata; Aves; Galliformes; Phasianidae.